CCUACGGGUGUCAGCAGUGGGGAAUAUUGGACAAUGGGCGAAAGCCUGAUCCAGCCAUGCCGCGUGUGUGAAGAAGGCCUUCGGGUUGUAAAGCACUUUCAGUGGGGAAGAAAGCCUUGGGGCUAAUACCCUCGAGGAAGGACAUCACCCACAGAAGAAGCACCGGCUAACUCCGUGCCAGCAGCCGCGGUAAUACGGAGGGUGCGAGCGUUAAUCGGAAUUACUGGGCGUAAAGCGCGCGUAGGCGGUCUGAUAAGCCGGUUGUGAAAGCCCCGGGCUCAACCUGGGAACGGCAUCCGGAACUGUCAGGCUAGAGUGCAGGAGAGGAAGGUAGAAUUCCCGGUGUAGCGGUGAAAUGCGUAGAGAUCGGGAGGAAUACCAGUGGCGAAGGCGGCCUUCUGGACUGACACUGACGCUGAGGUGCGAAAGCGUGGGUAGCAAACAGGAUUAGAUACCCCUGUAGUC
This 465-nucleotide ribosomal RNA is filed under the name Vreelandella stevensii. Its description in RNAcentral is "partial 16S ribosomal RNA". It matches the Rfam family "Bacterial small subunit ribosomal RNA", at positions 338 to 795 of the family's 1533-position model. Lineage: Bacteria; Pseudomonadati; Pseudomonadota; Gammaproteobacteria; Oceanospirillales; Halomonadaceae. The record is from RNAcentral.